UACGAAGGGGGCUAGCGUUGUUCGGAAUUACUGGGCGUAAAGGGCGCGUAGGCUGUGCUGUAAGUCAGGCGUGAAAGCCCCGGGCUCAACCUGGGAAUUGCGCUUGAUACUGCGGCGCUGGAAGGUGGGAGAGGAUGGCGGAAUUCCCAGUGUAGAGGUGAAAUUCGUAGAUAUUGGGAAGAACACCGGUGGCGAAGGCGGCCAUCUGGCCCAUUUUUGACGCUGAGGCGCGAAAGCGUGGGGAGCAAACAGG
Molecule: ribosomal RNA, 253 nt
Filed under: uncultured bacterium
Lineage: Bacteria
Description: partial 16S ribosomal RNA
Rfam family: Bacterial small subunit ribosomal RNA
Source: RNAcentral